Long non-coding RNA from Anneissia japonica, 518 nucleotides. RefSeq lists it as uncharacterized. The record is from RefSeq and is a predicted model, not a curated record. Lineage: Eukaryota; Metazoa; Echinodermata; Crinoidea; Comatulida; Comatulidae. The transcript has 3 exons.
CAUUAAAUAAUUGUCUCUAAUAUUUUACCUGUUUUUACUCACUAAUUGUAGAUUAGUACUUACUUAAAGUGCAAAUUAAAUUCAAAUUUACAUUAUUUCAGGUUUCGAAUAGGCCUACUGUAGACGCAGGUGAUUUAUUUUGUGUCUUUUGGGACGAACAUUCGACACCGAGUACGUGGUCUACUCAAGGCUGCUCUGUCAGUUCCAGUAAUUUGUCACACACCUUUUGCAAAUGUAACCAUCUCACCAGUUUUACUGUUUUGUUUGCUCUUGAAGAAAACAAGAAGGACUCGCUACUAUCUACUGUCUUACUUACCUGUUCAUUGAUUUGUCUCGCGGCCUCUGGAAUCAUUUUCAUUUACGUUGGGUAUGUUGACCAAUCGAAAAAAAUAUUUUUAUAUAUACACAUCAUACAAGAAUCAUGCAUUAUGUAUUAUAAACAUAUAUCUAUUGUAAAAUAGCCAAAGUUGGUACUUACCGUUAUAGGUAUAUGUUUCCCGCUUGGACUAUAGUGCAAU